CCUACGGGAGGCAGCAGUCGAGAAUCAUUCACAAUGGGGGAAACUCUGAUGGUGCGACGCCGCGUGGGGGAAUGAAGGUCUUCGGAUUGUAAACCCCUGUCAUGUGGGGGCAAAUUAAAAAGAUAGUACCACAAGAGGAAGAGACGGCUAACUCUGUGCCAGCAGCCGCGGUAAUACAGAGGUCUCAAGCGUUGUUAGGAAUCACUGGGCGUAAAGCGUGCGUAGGCUGUUUCGUAAGUCGUGUGUGAAAGGCGCGGGCUCAACCCGCGGACGGCACAUGAUACUGCGAGACUAGAGUAAUGGAGGGGGAACCGGAAUGUUCGGUGUAGCAGUGAAAUGCGUAGAGAUCGAGAGGAACACUCGUGGCGAAGGCGGGUUCCUGGACAUUAACUGACGCUGAGGCACGAAGGCCAGGGGAGCGAAAGGGAUUAGAUACCCCUGUAGUC
This 446-nucleotide ribosomal RNA is filed under the name uncultured bacterium. RNAcentral describes it as "partial 16S ribosomal RNA". It matches the Rfam family "Bacterial small subunit ribosomal RNA", at positions 338 to 795 of the family's 1533-position model. The record is from RNAcentral.